GAUGAACGCUAGCGGCAGGCUUAAUACAUGCAAGUCGAACGGGAUUGAGAAGCUUGCUUUUCAUGAGAGUGGCGCACGGGUGCGUAACACGUAUGCAACCUACCUUGUCCAGGGGGAUAGCCCGUUGAAAGACGGAUUAAGACCGCAUAACAUUGAGCUGUGGCAUCACAAAUCAAUCAAAUAUUUAUAGGGACAAGAUGGGCAUGCGCCUGAUUAGGUAGUUGGCGGGGUAAUGGCCCACCAAGCCGACGAUCAGUAGGGGGUCUGAGAGGAUGACCCCCCACACGGGUACUGAGACACGGACCAGACUCCUACGGGAGGCAGCAGUAAGGAAUAUUGGCCAAUGGGCGAAAGCCUGAACCAGCCAUGCCGCGUGCAGGAAGACGGCCCUACGGGUUGUAAACUGCUUUUAUACGGGAAUAACCCCGGUUUCGUGAAACCGGCUGAAUGUACCGUAAGAAUAAGGAUCGGCUAACUCCGUGCCAGCCGCCGCCGUAA
Molecule: ribosomal RNA, 498 nt
Filed under: uncultured bacterium
Lineage: Bacteria
Description: partial 16S ribosomal RNA
Rfam family: Bacterial small subunit ribosomal RNA
Source: RNAcentral